GUUUGAGCUCAGGUCCAUCGCCAGCGACCCCGACGAGAGCCAUGUGUACUGCGUGAACGACUUCACGUUCCUGGUGGACAUCGUGGACGGCCUCAGCAGUAACCUGUGCAAGAGCGUCAAGGGUCCAGGUGUGAAGAGUGUGGACGAGAUUGAGUUCAGGUCCAUCGCCAGCGACCCCGACGAGAGCCACGUGUACCGCGUGAACGACCUCAGCAGCAACCUGUGCAACAGCGUCAAGGGUCCAAGUGGGAACAGAAACCACACACAAAAAAAUUCAGUCCUACUCUCAUUCACAGAUUCAUACAGGUCGUUUUCGGUCAAGCUAACAGUCAGAACCUAUAAUAUCCGAUCACAAACUUUUGACGAUAUUUCAUUAUUUGCAAUUACUUCAACAACCCUAAUUUAGAGAUUUUUUUCAAAUUCUUCUUCUUAUCUUGUUGUCAUUUCCAAAUUAUAAUUCUUGCUCUAGAUGAAGACACCUUUAGCAGAUAAAUCAAAUAAAAAAAUGAAUUGAUUUAGAUUUUUUAUUUACUGGAGGUUUAUGAUGAGGGCGUCUCCACUAUGUGGGUGAGAUGGGAGAAGGUGCCCAGAGCCACCGGCUACAUGCUGCUCUACAGACCCAUCAGUGCCAUCGAGUCACAGCUGGUUUAUGAGGUAAAGAAAUGACAGUGUUUUCAGCAAGUGAAGUACUUUGAACUUGCCUCACCAGACCACCUGCAAAGAGGUCUGAAACCUGAAACUCAAAUCUGGAUGCUACCUUUAGGAGUUCCUUGCUCUGAUUUGCUACUCCCUUUUGGUGCUACCUUUGGAUGUUUCCUUCGGUGACUCCCUUAGGGUGGCAUCUUUGGAAGCUCCUUAGGAUGCUCCUGUUUGCCCCUCCCUUUUGGUGCUACGUUUGGAUGCUCCGUUUGGACACUCCCUUUGGACACUACCUUUGAAACUCUUUAAGCAUGCCCCCUCGGGGUGCUCCUGUUUGCCACACCCUUUAGACCUUUAAAAGCUCCCUUUUGGGGCUACCUUUGGAUGUUUCCUUUGGACAAUCCCUUUUAGAACCCUAAGGGUGGUCCCUUAGGAUGUACCCUCAGGAUGCUAAAGGUUGCCUUUUGGUGCUACCUUCAAAUACUUCCUUUUGGUGCUUCCUUUGAAUGCUCUUUCUGGAACCACACUUUUGACACUCCCUUUGGAAGUUCCCUUGGAAAUCUCCCUCUUGGACACUCCUUCUGGAACCUCGCUUGGGAGCCUCCCUUUUGACGCUCCCCUUUAGUGCUUUGGAUCUUAUUUUGGUGAAGUGUAACAAACUGGUCUUAAUACAAUGACACUGUAUCUGCUCUCCGUCCUCCUGUAGCUACGAGUUGGAGGAAACAUCACAAGCAUUCAGCUGGAGCAGCUGAUUCCCAACACGGUGUACGACAUCACACUCCACGCGCUGUUCAGAGAAGCUCAGGAAGGAAGAGGAGUCACCUUGCCCAGGCCUCCUGCUGGAGUCCUGACCAUCUCCGACGUGACCCACAGCACCAUGAUGCUCCGCUGGGACGCUGCUCCUGGAGCCGUGCACAAAUACAUGAUCACGUACAAACCAGAAGGUGGCGACCUCAGUGAGGUGAGACUCGUGUUUUUUUUUUGUUUUUAAGGUUUUAAAAAAAACAAAAAACGCGACGAGAUGUUAAAUUGAUGUCCUCAUUUCCAACGGGAAGACUGUGAGCGUUUUUGGGCUUUAU
Molecule: long non-coding RNA, 1718 nt
Organism: Solea solea (common sole)
Lineage: Eukaryota; Metazoa; Chordata; Actinopteri; Pleuronectiformes; Soleidae
Exons: 3
Source: RefSeq, a predicted model, not a curated record